CCCUUCGGGGGCGAGUACAGCGGCGGACGGGUGAGUAACACGUGAGCGAUCCACCUCGAGGCGGGGGACAACCCAGGGAAACCUGGGCUAAUACCGCAUACAGCGGCAGGCAUGGAAGCUUGUCGUGAAAGCUGGCCUCUCCAUGGAAGCUAGCGCCUCUGGACGAGCUCGCGGCCUAUCAGCUGGUUGGUGAGGUAACGGCUCACCAAGGCGAUGACGGGUAGCUGGCGUGAGAGCGCGAUCAGCCACACUGGGACUGAGACACGGCCCAGACUCCUACGGGAGGCAGCAGUGGGGAAUCUUGCGCAAUGGGCGAAAGCCUGACGCAGCGACGCCGCGUGGGGGAGGAAGGCCCUAGGGUUGUAAACCCCUGUCAGGUGGGACGAACCGGGGAUCGGCGAAAGCCGGUUCCUCUGACGGUACCACCAGAGGAAGCUCCGGCUAACUCCGUGCCAGCAGCCGCGGUAAAACGGAGGGAGCAAGCGUUGUUCGGAAUUACUGGGCGUAAAGGGCGCGUAGGCGGCCCUGUAAGUCGCAUGUGAAAGGCCGGGGCUCAACCCCGAGUAUUGCAUGCGAUACUGCAAGGCUAGAGACAGGUAGGGGCGAGCGGAAUUCCCGGUGUAGCGGUGGAAUGCGUAGAUAUCGGGAAGAACACCGGUGGCGAAGGCGGCUCGCUGGGCCUGUUCUGACGCUGAAGCGCGAAAGCGUGGGGAGCGAACAGGAUUAGAUACCCUG
Molecule: ribosomal RNA, 735 nt
Filed under: uncultured bacterium
Lineage: Bacteria
Description: bacterial SSU rRNA
Rfam family: Bacterial small subunit ribosomal RNA
Source: RNAcentral